GACGAACGCUGGCGGCGUGCCUAAUACAUGCAAGUAGAACGCUGAAGAGAGGAGCUUGCUCUUCUUGGAAGAGUUGCGAACGGGUGAGUAACGCGUAAGUAACCUGCCUUGUAGCGGGGGAUAACUAUUGGAAACGAUAGCUAAUACCGCAUAACAAUGGAUGACCCAUGUCAUUUAUUUGAAAGGGGCAACUGCUCCACUCCAAGAUGGACCGGGGUGGUAUUAGCUAGUAUGUGAGGUAACGGCUCACCUAGGCGACGAUACAUAGCCGACCUGGGAGGGUGAUCGGCCACACUGGGACUGAGACACGGCCCAGACUCCUACGGGAGGCAGCAGUAGGGAAUCUUCGGCAAUGGGGGCAACCCUGACCGAGCAACGCCGCGUGAGUGAAGAAGGUUUUCGGAUCGUAAGGCUCUGUUGUAAGUCAAGAACGAGUGUGAGAGUGGAAAGUUCACACUGUGACGGUAGCUUACCAGAAAGGGACGGCUAACUACGUGCCAGCCGCCGCAGUAA
This 513-nucleotide ribosomal RNA is filed under the name uncultured bacterium. Its description in RNAcentral is "partial 16S ribosomal RNA". It matches the Rfam family "Bacterial small subunit ribosomal RNA", at positions 28 to 523 of the family's 1533-position model. The record is from RNAcentral.